RNAcentral lists this unclassified non-coding RNA (365 nucleotides) under Hevea brasiliensis (rubber tree). Lineage: Eukaryota; Viridiplantae; Streptophyta; Magnoliopsida; Malpighiales; Euphorbiaceae. The record is from RNAcentral.
UUCUUGAAGAGAUGUGAGAUUGUGCAUACCAUCAGGAAGGGCCUCGAGUCCCUCACAUUGAUAUAUAACAAUACGGCGUAGAUUGGUGAGCAUGUGCAGGUUCUCAGGUAAGGAUUUAAGAUCAAGAGCACAUACGAUUUCAAUAGAUUCAAGAGAUGUGUUGUUGUCGAAAACAGGCAACUCCCCUAAGAAUGUAAGAGAGAGGCACCCAAUAAUUCCCAAGUGCUGAAGAUUAGAUGAGUAAGCAUCGCAGCUGAUACCCUCCUUAUCAGUAAACCUGGAAGAGGAACAAGUCUCUCUCGCAUCCAGCAGCCUCAGCAAUCCGUAGCAGUUGCGUAUCUCUAGUCUUUUUAGAGUUGUGGGUA